AACUAAUAGUAAGAUGGAGAAGAGAUAAUGCAACAAAAAUCUUAGAUGGGGCAGUGAAGUCCAUUGCGCAUUCUGAUUUUUUGUAGCUCCGGACAUCAGUUGUAUUGAGACAUGGAUGGCUCUACACCUGAAGUACAUAUAUCUGACAAGCAUGAUCACAUGUUCCCUUUAGAGUCUGAUGGUCGAUGGAGAGGCGAAGCGAAAGACGGUUAGGAAGCGCAAGAGAAGUGGCAAAGACAGUAGGUCCAUGUGUAUUUAACAGCAAGUCCAUGUAUUACUACAUGAGAAGUACUGCUAGUGAGACUUCACUGCCCCAUUUCAACAAACUUGUAUACGCAAUCCUAGUUUGACAAAGUACUCUACUGCCGCUGGUUUCAGUUCCCUCACUGGAUUUGCAGGCUCACGACCAUCCUCCAACACCCCGUCAGUGCCACUGAUUUGAAGGACCUCGGUGAGCGUGUACUUCUCCUGCACCAGAGAGGUUUGGACAGACGCUGAUCACUAGCUCUCUAUGACGCCACCGAUCACUAGAACGAAGAACACCAGCAGGAUGAGAAUGAAGUACAUGACAUAGACAAUGAGGACGACCAAAACAUGGAAUCCGUACACAUAGCACCAACUGCAAAUUCGAACUUUCUGUCUAUGAUGAUUUGAUUGCUACUUCUUAAAGAAAGUGUACAUAACAGUUAGAUGUUUGUGCUAGAAAGGAAAACUUGUUUGAAUUAAAAACAUUGACCAGUACGAAUCAAAAACAUUGAUCAGUUUGAUAGUGCUCUCUCCUACCUAUCUUGGUUGAUGCCACGAAUAGUGAAAAAAAUUGUAUGGG
Molecule: ribosomal RNA, 826 nt
Filed under: Triticum aestivum (bread wheat)
Lineage: Eukaryota; Viridiplantae; Streptophyta; Magnoliopsida; Poales; Poaceae
Description: partial small subunit ribosomal RNA
Source: RNAcentral